RNAcentral lists this long non-coding RNA (200 nucleotides) under Homo sapiens (human). Its description in RNAcentral is "LHRI_LNC1961.1". The record is from RNAcentral. Lineage: Eukaryota; Metazoa; Chordata; Mammalia; Primates; Hominidae.
CUGCCUUUAAGGAGCUCACAGACUAAUAGGGGAAAUAGACCUAUAAACGAAUAAUUACAACAUAGUGCAAUAAUAUGGGUACAACAAUGACAGAAGUAUAAGAGGGUGAGUGAUCUGUUCUGCUUGGAGUUGUGAGGGGCCUUGGUUUAGACAGGCAUCCAAAGGAGGUGAUGAUGCAGUCAGUAUGAGAUUUCCAGGAG